This 337-nucleotide long non-coding RNA is filed under the name Coffea arabica (coffee). RNAcentral's name for it is "long non-coding RNA (CARA_LNC000142)". Lineage: Eukaryota; Viridiplantae; Streptophyta; Magnoliopsida; Gentianales; Rubiaceae. The record is from RNAcentral.
UUUUCAAGAACUAAUAAAAAUAUGUUGAUUAGAUAAGUUAAUCAAGCAAAAGUCUUCAAAAACUAAUUAAGGUCUGCGGGAGCCUUCAAAAGUUGCCGGCUUUUGAAGGUUUCUCGCAGGUCAACUUUAGUAACGAAAAAGUCUGAGUUUCUCAGUAACUAAUUAAGGUCUGCGGGAGCCUUCAAAAGUUGCCGGCUUUUGAAGGUUCUCGCAGGUCAACUUUAGUAACGAAAAAGUCUGAGUUUCUCAGUCAUCGGAAAAAGAUAAGUUAAUCAAGCAAAAGUACAAGCCAAAAGUUCUCAUAAAAUAUUCUAUGUACAGCUUUGAAUACAGUCAA